AUGCCACAGGUGAUGGAGUCCUGCUUGUACACCCCUCACUGUGUCAGUCUUCCUUUGGUGUGGUUUGCUAUCCUGCAGAGGCAAACGUUGAAAUGCUGGCUUCUCUUUCUUGUGACAAGAAUAGAAACAAAUGCAAGUUUACCCUGGACUGUGUUAGGAGUAAUUUCAAAACAAGUGAUUGAACUCAACGUGUUCUGUUCCUUCAAACAUGGAUGCAAACUUCUUGAGAUAAUUAGCUCUGACAUUUCUUCUUCUAAGGACAACCUGAAAGUCAAAAGGCAAAAGAAGGAAGGUGGUGAUCCAGGACUCUGGAGGAGGGGACUUAGGCCACAGACCUGA
This 339-nucleotide long non-coding RNA is filed under the name Phasianus colchicus (ring-necked pheasant). RNAcentral's name for it is "lncRNA (ENSPCLG00000022045.1)". Lineage: Eukaryota; Metazoa; Chordata; Aves; Galliformes; Phasianidae. The record is from RNAcentral.